GAUCCUGGCUCAGGAUGAACGCUGGCGGCGUGCUUAACACAUGCAAGUCGAACGGAGUUUUAACGGAAGUUUCGGAUGGAAGUUUAGAAACUUAGUGGCGGACGGGUGAGUAACGCGUGGGUAACCUGCCUCAUACAGGGGGAUAACAGUUAGAAAUGACUGCUAACACCGCAUAAUAUAGCGAAACCGCAUGAUUUUGCUAUCAAAUAUUUAUAGGUAUGAGAUGGGCCCGCGUCUGAUUAGCUAGUUGGUGGGGUAAAAGCCUACCAAGGCGACGAUCAGUAGCCGGCUUGAGAGAGUGACCGGCCACAUUGGGACUGAGACACGGCCCAAACUCCUACGGGAGGCAGCAGUGGGGAAUAUUGGACAAUGGGGGAAACCCUGAUCCAGCGAACCGCCGCGUGAGUGAAGAAGUAUUUCGGUAUGUAAAGCUCUAUCAGCAGGGAAGAUAAUGACAGUACCUGACUAAGAAGCCCCGGCUAACUACGUGCCAGCAGCCGC
This 501-nucleotide ribosomal RNA is filed under the name uncultured bacterium. Its description in RNAcentral is "bacterial SSU rRNA". It matches the Rfam family "Bacterial small subunit ribosomal RNA", at positions 15 to 518 of the family's 1533-position model. The record is from RNAcentral.